This 460-nucleotide ribosomal RNA is filed under the name uncultured bacterium. RNAcentral describes it as "partial 16S ribosomal RNA". It matches the Rfam family "Bacterial small subunit ribosomal RNA", at positions 338 to 795 of the family's 1533-position model. The record is from RNAcentral.
CCUACGGGAGGCAGCAGUGAGGAAUAUUGGUCAAUGGACGAGAGUCUGAACCAGCCAAGUAGCGUGAAGGAUGACUGCCCUAUGGGUUGUAAACUUCUUUUAUAUGGGAAUAAAACGUUCCACGUGUGGGAUUUUGUAUGUACCAUAUGAAUAAGGAUCGGCUAACUCCGUGCCAGCAGCCGCGGUAAUACGGAGGAUCCGAGCGUUAUCCGGAUUUAUUGGGUUUAAAGGGAGCGUAGGUGGAUUGUUAAGUCAGUUGUGAAAGUUUGCGGCUCAACCGUAAAAUUGCAGUUGAAACUGGCAGUCUUGAGUACAGUAGAGGUGGGCGGAAUUCGUGGUGUAGCGGUGAAAUACUUAGAUAUCACGAAGAACUCCGAUUGCGAAGGCAGUUCACUGGACUGCAACUGACACUGAGGCUCGAAAGUGUGGGUAUCAAACAGGAUUAGAUACCCGUGUAGUC